UGAGUAACCUGCCCUUAACUCUGGGAUAAGCCUGGGAAACUGGGUCUAAUACUGGAUAUUCACUUCUCAUCGCAUGGUGGGUGGUGGAAAGCUUUUGCGGUGUGGAAUGGGCCCGCGGCCUAUCAGCUUGUUGGUGAGGUUACGGCUCACCAAGGCGUCGACGGGUAGCCAGCCUGAGAGGGUGUCCGGCCACACUGGGACUGAGAUACGGCCCAGACUCCUACGGGAGCAG
Molecule: ribosomal RNA, 232 nt
Filed under: uncultured bacterium
Lineage: Bacteria
Description: partial 16S ribosomal RNA
Rfam family: Bacterial small subunit ribosomal RNA
Source: RNAcentral